CGCGUCGCCGCCGGGACGGCCCGCGGCCCGGGGCGGCUGGUCCUGCGCGACGACCAUGAGCCGGAGCAGUGCCUGAUCGAACCCGGCCGACGCGC
RNAcentral lists this transfer RNA (95 nucleotides) under Sphaerisporangium krabiense. RNAcentral describes it as "tRNA-Ser". The record is from RNAcentral. Lineage: Bacteria; Bacillati; Actinomycetota; Actinomycetes; Streptosporangiales; Streptosporangiaceae.